UACGUAGGGUGCGAGCGUUAAUUGGAAUUACUGGGCGUAAAGCGUGCGCAGGCGGUUUUGUAAGCCAGAUGUGAAAUCCCCGGGCUUAACCUGGGAAUGGCAUUUGGGACUGCAAGGCUUGAGUUUGGCAGAGGAGACUGGAAUUCCUGGUGUAGCAGUGAAAUGCGUAGAUAUCAGGAGGAAUACCGAUGGCGAAGGCAGGUCUCUGGGCUAGAACUGACGCUCAUGCACGAAAGCGUGGGGAGCAAACAGG
This 253-nucleotide ribosomal RNA is filed under the name uncultured bacterium. RNAcentral describes it as "partial 16S ribosomal RNA". It matches the Rfam family "Bacterial small subunit ribosomal RNA", at positions 524 to 776 of the family's 1533-position model. The record is from RNAcentral.